AUCGCCAAGGGANCGGCCCGCGUNGGAUUAGGUANUNGGUGGGGUAAUGGCCUACCAAGCCGACGAUCCAUAGCUGGUUUGAGAGGAUGAUCAGCCACACUGGGACUGAGACACGGCCCAGACUCCUACGGGAGGCAGCAGUGGGGAAUCUUAGACAAUGGGGGAAACCCUGAUCUAGCCAUGCCGCGUGAUCGAUGAAGGCCUUAGGGUUGUAAAGAUCUUUCAGGUGGGAAGAUAAUGACUGUACCACCAGAAGAAGCCCCGGCUAACUCCGUGCCAGCAGCCGCGGUAAUACGGAGGGGGCUAGCGUUAUUCGGAAUUACUGGGCGUAAAGCGCACGUAGGCGGACCAGAAAGUCAGAGGUGAAAGCCCGGGGCCCAACCCCGGAACUGCCUUUGAAACUCCUGGUCUUGAGGUCGAGAGAGGUGAGUGGAAUUCCGAGUGUAAAGGUGAAAUUCGUANAUAUUCGGANGAACACCANUGGCGANNGCGGCUCACUGNCUCGAUACUGACGCUGAGGUGCGAAAGCGUGGGGANCAAACAGGAUUANAUACCCUGNUAGUCCACGCCGUANACGAUGAAUGCCNNACGUCNGGUANCAUGCUAUUCGGUGUCACACCUANCGNA
This 627-nucleotide ribosomal RNA is filed under the name uncultured bacterium. RNAcentral describes it as "partial 16S ribosomal RNA". It matches the Rfam family "Bacterial small subunit ribosomal RNA", at positions 214 to 859 of the family's 1533-position model. The record is from RNAcentral.